GACGAACGCUGGCGGCGUGCUUAACACAUGCAAGUCGAACGAAGAGCGACGGAAGCUUGCUUCUCUCAAUCUUAGUGGCGCACGGGUGAGUAACGCGUAAUCAACCUGCCCUUCAGAGGGGGACAACAGUUGGAAACGACUGCUAAUACCGCAUACGAUCUAAUCUCGGCAUCGAGGAUGGAUGAAAGGUGGCCUCUACAUGUAAGCUAUCACUGAAGGAGGGGAUUGCGUCUGAUUAGCUAGUUGGAGGGGUAACGGCCCACCAAGGCGAUGAUCAGUAGCCGGUCUGGGAGGAUGAACGGCCACAUUGGGACUGAGACACGGCCCAGACUCCUACGGGAGGCAGCAGUGGGGAAUCUUCCGCAAUGGACGAAAGUCUGACGGAGCAACGCCGCGUGAGGGAUGACGGCCUUCGGGUUGUAAAGCUCUGUUAAUCGGGACGAAAGGCCUUCUUGCGAAUAGGGAGAAGGAUUGACGGUACCGGAAUAGAAAGCCACGGCUAACUACGUG
Molecule: ribosomal RNA, 510 nt
Filed under: uncultured bacterium
Lineage: Bacteria
Description: partial 16S ribosomal RNA
Rfam family: Bacterial small subunit ribosomal RNA
Source: RNAcentral